UUAGUAUUUGCUGAGAUAUUCUCCAAGAUCCAUACAACACUGCAUUAGCAGUAAUUACUUCCCUGAAGACACAAUUGAAUAUGGCAGCAACCAGACUGUUUGAGGACCAGAUAUACAGAACUUCGUUUCCUGCCAUCAGCUAUCUAUUUGAACUUUAUCAGCUGAUUUCCUCAUCAACAGCCUGUGUUGAAAGACUGUUUAGUUUGCUCAACCUGCUUUGCACACUACACAAAAAACAGGCUUGCGGAAGCAACACUUGAGUCCCUGAUAAGACUAUGUCGGCACACGGAGAGACUUGGUGAAGAGGAGGUCACCAGAAUAAUCGACGAAUUUGCAGAAAAGCCAAGAAAUGUUGUGCUUUGAACAUGAACAUAACAUGUUGAUGAAAAAAGGAGUUGUAAAAAUGUUUUUCUCUAAGUACAUGUGUAUGGUGAAUUUAAUUUAGUGUUAAAACUUGAUUUUCCUU
Dreissena polymorpha is the source of this 466-nucleotide long non-coding RNA. RefSeq lists it as uncharacterized. The transcript is spliced from 2 exons. NCBI's taxonomy places the organism in Eukaryota, Metazoa, Mollusca, Bivalvia, Myida, Dreissenidae. The record is from RefSeq and is a predicted model, not a curated record.